Small nuclear RNA from Echinops telfairi (small Madagascar hedgehog), 186 nucleotides. RefSeq annotates it as U2 spliceosomal RNA. The transcript has a single exon. NCBI's taxonomy places the organism in Eukaryota, Metazoa, Chordata, Mammalia, Afrosoricida, Tenrecidae. The record is from RefSeq and is a predicted model, not a curated record.
AUCAUUUCUCGGCCUUUUGGCUAAGAUCAAGUGUAGUAUCUGUUUUACCAGUUUAAUAUCUGAUACGUCCUCUGAGCACAACAUAUUAAAUGUAUUUUUGCAAGUAGGAGGUGCACUAGGAGCUUGCUCCAUCCACUCCCCGCAUCAGUCUGGUAUUGCUGUACUUCCAGGAUUGGUGCAGCCCCU